Molecule: ribosomal RNA, 588 nt
Filed under: Chaetothyriales sp.
Lineage: Eukaryota; Fungi; Ascomycota; Eurotiomycetes; Chaetothyriales
Description: bacterial SSU rRNA
Rfam family: Bacterial small subunit ribosomal RNA
Source: RNAcentral
GGCCAAAUUACGUGCCAGCAGUCGCGGUAAUACGUAAAAGACGAGUGUUAUUCAUCUUUAAUCGGUUUAAAGGGUACCUAGACGGAAAAUCAAGCUUAAUUAAACUAAGGACUAGUUUUCUAGAGUUUGACAUGAGAAGGUACGAACUAUCAGAGGAGAGAUAAAAUUUGUUGAUACUGGUGGGACGGACAACGGCGAAGGCAAUCUUCUACUAAAAACUGACGUUGAGGGACGAAGCCUUGGGGAGCGAGAAGGAUUAGAUACCCUAGUAGUCCUUGGAGAAAAUUAUGAGUGCCAUAGACUAAAGUGAAAGAAGUUCUUUUAAAAGAACUUUGUAUCUGAGCCUUAAUUGGAUACAAAGGUCUGGAGUAGCAGUUUAUAAAUGAAAGUGUAAGCAUUCCACCUCAUGACUAAAGCGGCAACGCCCAAAUUGAAAUCAUUAGACCGUUUCUGAAACCAGUAGUGAAGUAUGUUAUUUAAUUCGAUAACCCGCGAAUAACCUUACCACGUUUUGAAUUUAUUAAACAAGUGUUGCACGGCUGUCUUCAGUUAAUGUCGUGAGAUUUUGGUUUGUUCCAUUAAUUAACG